Molecule: ribosomal RNA, 795 nt
Filed under: uncultured bacterium
Lineage: Bacteria
Description: bacterial SSU rRNA
Rfam family: Bacterial small subunit ribosomal RNA
Source: RNAcentral
AGAGUUUGAUCAUGGCUCAGGAUGAACGCUAGCGGCAGGCUUAAUACAUGCAAGUCGUGGGGCAGCAUGGGGUAGCAAUACUCUGAUGGCGACCGGCAAACGGGUGCGGAACACGUACGCAACCUUCCUUUAACUGGAGAAUAGCCCCUCGAAAGAGGGAUUAAUACUCCGUAACAUGAUGAUAAGGCAUCUUAUUAUUAUUAUAGCUCCGGCGGUUAAAGAUGGGCGUGCGCCUGAUUAGGUAGUUGGCGGGGUAACGGCCCACCAAGCCUGCGAUCAGUAACUGGUGUGAGAGCACGACCAGUCACACGGGCACUGAGACACGGGCCCGACUCCUACGGGAGGCAGCAGUAAGGAAUAUUGGUCAAUGGACGAAAGUCUGAACCAGCCAUGCCGCGUGAAGGAUGAAGGCCCUCUGGGUUGUAAACUUCUUUUAUCUGGGACGAAAAAAGCUCAUUCUUGAGCACUUGACGGUACCAGAGGAAUAAGCACCGGCUAACUCCGUGCCAGCAGCCGCGGUAAUACGGAGGGUGCAAGCGUUAUCCGGAUUUACUGGGUUUAAAGGGUGCGUAGGUGGGUCUGUAAGUCAGUGGUGAAAUCUCCGGGCUUAACCCGGAAACUGCCAUUGAUACUAUAGAUCUUGAAUAUCCUGGAGGUGAGCGGAAUAUGUCAUGUAGCGGUGAAAUGCUUAGAUAUGACAUAGAACACCAAUUGCGAAGGCAGCUCACUACGGGAUCAUUGACACUGAGGCACGAAAGCGUGGGGAUCAAACAGGAUUAGAUACCCUAGUAGUCC